UGGGGAAUAUUGCACAAUGGGCGCAAGCCUGAUGCAGCCAUGCCGCGUGUGUGAAGAAGGCCUUCGGGUUGUAAAACACUUUCAGCGAGGAGGAAGGUGGUGAACUUAAUACGUUCAUCAAUUGACGUUACUCGCAGAAGAAGCACCGGCUAACUCCGUGCCAGCAGCCGCGGUAAUACGGAGGGUGCAAGCGUUAAUCGGAAUUACUGGGCGUAAAGCGCACGCAGGCGGUUUGUUAAGUCAGAUGUGAAAUCCCCGGGCUCAACCUGGGAACUGCAUUUGAAACUGGCGAGCUAGAGUCUCGUAGAGGGGGGUAGAAUUCCAGGUGUAGCGGUGAAAUGCGUAGAGAUCUGGAGGAAUACCGGUGGCGAAGGCGGCCCCCCGGANGAAGACUGACGCUCAGGUGCGAAAA
This 412-nucleotide ribosomal RNA is filed under the name uncultured bacterium. RNAcentral describes it as "partial 16S ribosomal RNA". It matches the Rfam family "Bacterial small subunit ribosomal RNA", at positions 355 to 759 of the family's 1533-position model. The record is from RNAcentral.